This 32-nucleotide non-coding RNA is filed under the name Homo sapiens (human). Lineage: Eukaryota; Metazoa; Chordata; Mammalia; Primates; Hominidae. The record is from RNAcentral.
UCCAGGGUUUCGGUUCCUACUAUGAACCUAGA